AAAAAAAAAAACUAAAAAAAAACUAAAAUUGAUGUUGCACUAUGGUAUGAACUACUAAUGCUAAAUUCGGAACAGACAAAUAUUAAUAAAAAGUUAAGAAUAUUCGAAACAGAUAAUAUAUAAAAUAUUAACAAUAUACAUGCGAUAGUAACAGUAUAAAACAAUAAUAAUGCAUAUGGUAUUAAACAUGAUAGUAAUAGCAUUAAACACGAAAUAAAAUCAUGAAUAUAUAUAUAAACAUAUAAUAAUAAAUGAAGUAACGUAAACAUAAUAUUAAAAAUACUAAUAGUGCUAUAUAUAUACACAUAUUAAGAUAUAUACCAUAAUAGGUAUUAAUGGUGCAUUAAUAGUAUUGAAAAUAUGUAUAUAAUAUAUAAAAGGAUAACAUUGAAAAUACAUACAUAAUGCAAAGUUAAAAAUAAUAUAUGAAAUAUACAUACAUAAUAUCUAUUAAAAGAAUAUACACAUAAUAUAUAUACGCAUGUAUUAAAAAUAAUAAUGAUAUUUAAAAUUAAUUAUUAACAAUGUUACAUAAAAGUGUAUAUAUAUAUGAAUGUUAGAAUAUUUAUUGAAACCAAAACUAAUACAAAUAGUAGUAAAACUAAUAAUAUAAUAUAAUAUAAAAAUAGGUAAUUAAAAACACUAUGAUAUGAAUACGUAUAUAUAUGCAUAUAUAAAAAUACAUACCAAUAUUAAUAAUAAUAAUGAUACUAGAAAUAAUAAUGAAACACACAUAAGUAAAUAAAAUAUAAUAAUAAUACUAAAAUAAAGUAAAUAAAAAAAUACUAUAUAUGGAUAUAUACACAAUAAUAUAAAAAAAUGUGAUAUAAAAACCAUAUGUACAUAAUAAUAUGAAAAACAUAUAUAUAUAAUAUAACAUUAGAAUAUUUACAUAAUAUAUACAUAUUAGGGAUAAUAAUAAUAAUGUUAUAAAACAAUUGUUAAUAAUACUACAUGAACAUAUACAUACAUAUACAUAUUAAAGAUAUAUACAUGUAUAAUAAAACAUAUACUACUACUACUACUAAUAAUAAUAAUAAUAAUAAUAAUAAUAAGGAUAAUAUAAGAAUAUAUACAUGAAAUGGUAUAAGAAAUAUGUAACUAAUAACAUUAAAGUAUGUACAUGAUAGAUGGAAUAUAUACAAUAUAGUAUUAGAUAUAUAUAUAUACAAUAGUAUAAAGGAUGUAUAACUAAUGAUACUAAAAUAUAUGCAUAAUAAUAUACGUAAAAUAUAUACACAAUAUAGUUAUGAAAAUACAUAUAUACACAUAAUAUAGAAUUUAGAAUAUGCCUAAUAUAUUAAAAGAGUAUACAUAUAGUAUAGUAUUAAGACAAAUAAUAAAAAAACUAUUAAUAAUAAUAUAUAAUAUACGUAUAACUAUUAAGUAGAAAUAAUGAUAAUGAAAUGUUAAUAAAUAAAACUAUAAUAACCAUCACAUUAACAAUAGUGUAAUUAAUAUUUAAAUUAAGAUAAAAUGAUAAGAAAAGUAAAAAAGGACGUAAUUGAAUAGGAAAAUAAAAUUUUGAGGCAAAUUCAAAAUUAAAAUAAAAAGUAAGGGCUUAUUUGAAAUCGCGUGAGGUGUAGGGGGACCAAAAGCGCAAUAUUCCCAAGCCCUUAAAACUAUGUCGUGUCAACAAGGACUCAUUUGAAUUCUAAAAAAAUUAUGGGGUUGAUUUCAAAAGUUACAGGAACUUACUUGCAAAAUAAUGAAAACGAGGAUCCUAGCGGGCAGGGUCGGGUCGACCCGAUCCAUGAUGAAACAACGCCGUUUCAAUGCUUAAGUGCAGGGCCUAAAACGACGCCGUUCCAGACCCCUAUAAAAGUUAAAAUUUUUUGAAAGUUCAAUCAUUUAUGCGUGUUGAGGAAAAAAAGAGGGAGAGAGAAACUUAUUUUCUCUGGAUCAAAUCCAGAAUCUGGCCCGGAAGACCACCGUCGCCGUCGCAUCUCCGUCGCUGCCGGCCACCGUACACAGUGGCCGGACUUUCAAAAAAAUGUAUUUUUAGUUCUUUUUUCUUUUAUAUUUUAUGUUCUUUAUUUUUGUAUAUACAUAUGCAUGUAAUCAAAAAUAAAAAUAAAAUCUUUAUGUAUAUGUGUGUAUAUGGAUGUGCGUAUGAAAAAGAAAAAUGUUGGCUACCUUAGACUGAAUCUGCUUAUUGCUUACUUUUUUUCCUUCGAUUUGAACUGAUUUCUUUGUUCUAAAACCUGUUGUUUGUAUUGAUAAAGAAUGGCCAGCUUUUUCUUUUUUCAUUUUUUUGUAUUUUUUUAUAAACUUUUUUUUCUUUUACAAAUUUUCAUUCGUCUUUAUAGCCUAUUUGGUAUACUGUUUGUUUCCCUUUUUUGUUGUUGUUGCGUGUUUCACUUGCUGUGCAAGUGGUGGUUGAACGGUGGUGCAGAGGCUGGUAUGGGCGAUGGGACGUUGUCGGUGUUGAGGCAGUUUAGGGUUUCAAAUUUUUUUGAAACCCUAAGUCUAGAGUUGAGUCAAAAAUUGGGCUUCUUAAGUUUGGGCUAGUUUGAGCAUUGGGCUUGGGUUUAGAUUGGAUUUAGUUUGUAAUAGGUUGUUGGGGUUAUGAAACAGGUUGAGGUUUAAGUGGGCUUUGUAAAAUAGGGUUUGGGUUUCUAUUACGUUAAUGGGUAUUGGUUUAAGUGUGGGUAAAAUUGGGCUGUGGGUAUUUUGUAAAAGGGUCUAAUAUUGGCCUACAACAUCUAUAACUUAUUCUUUAGAAGUUUUAAUAAUAUAUAUUAUAUACACAGUCUACCCUUCUAAUAAGAUCAUUUUCAUGAUUCGAACUUAGGUUAUCCCUAAAUUAUUUUCAAGUGCAAUUUAUAUCUACAAUAUGCAAAAAAAAAAUUCACAUAAAUAUAAAAAAAUAUUAACUAAGUUAAAUAACCAAAUACAAAAAAAAAUUAUUUUCAAUAAAAUAAUGAAAAAUAAAACAAAAAUAUCAGAGAUAAAAAUUAAACAUUAUUAAAAGAAGUUAAUUUGUUAAAAAUAUCUCAAAAUUAAUUUUUGUUCCCUCGUUUUUGAACCUAAAAAAGUUAAUUUCUUAAAAUAUUUAGAUAUGAAUUACGCAAAUCUUCAAGAUUUUUUUUGUUUGUUGAAUCAAGAAUGAUUAAAUUUCAAAAUUAAAAAGAAAAUCGAGAAUAUUUGAAGUCAUUAUCACUAAUUUAUACAUGAGUAUAUAGAAUUGGGUUUUGAUUUUUAAUGAUUAUUUACACAUAUUUUUCGUGUAAGUUGUGUUCAUCGAAACCUUUCUUAUGCAUCCAUUUUUCAACAACUCUUAAUUUUGUUAAAUCAUGAUUUAGUUUGUUUGUGCAUAAAAAUCAUAAAUUAAUUAAGAAACCAAAUAAUAAAACAGAAGAUCAUUACACAAUAAAAUUUACUUGAAUAAACUAACAAAAAAGAAGGAGAAAUUGGAAUUGGGUUUGUGCAUAGGUCAUAUCUAAUUAAUAUGGGGUGAAUUAGCCAAUAAGAACUACUCUUAGUGGUAAACAAGGUAGGUUUGGAUUUCAUAUUAAUUCUCACCAUAUAUUCAUAUUAUUUAUUUUGUUAUGACAAUUAUAGCCUAUGAACCAAGAAAUUUGAGCUUUCAACCUUAGAAAGUAAAAUAAUUAACUAUAGAUGCGAAACUUGAAUUGAAUUACAUUUAUAAAGGCUAAUCAAUUUAGGUUUUUUUUUUUUAGAAUUUUAUUAUUAUAAAUAUAAUACAUUUACAAGUAAUAAUAUUUAAUUAAUUAUAAAAUUAAAUUAAUACAAAGCAUAAAAAAUAAUGAACAAAAAAAAAUUCAGAUCAAAUAAAGCAAGAAUUAAAUAAAAUCUACCCAUAAUAUAUAUAUAUAUAUAUAUGAAAACCGAUACAUUAGUAUUACGCAUGAUGGCCUCAAACUUAAAUAUUCAAAGAUCCAAUAUUUCUUCCUUAAAAACCACUAUUUAUUCCAUAAAAUAAUGUUUAAAUGGAUAUCGAAAAUAUUAAGUUUGACAAGAAAUUGGGUUCAAAAUCAAGUAACAGUAUUAUCAUCCAAAAGGAGAACCCACUUAAUUAUUGUACGGAUUAACUGUUAAAUGAUUUGACAUAAGUCAGUAAAAUGGAAUGUUAAAGUCAGAUUUAAUUAAAAAGUUUAGGGAUAAAUUUGAAGCUUAGUGACUAAGCAGAUUUUACUUUCCAAGAAGAAUCUGAUUUUUUUUGGAGAAGAUACAAAGGGGGUAGGCUUUCGUGUGUAGGAGGGAUUCAAAUUUCAUAAUUGUAUUGAAUUUAAACAUUUUGGACUAAAUCAGCUCAAAUUCAAUUUUCUUUUCUCCGAAUCUUAUUAUUGGUCAGGUUUACUUGAACCCCACGUAGUGAGUGUUUUGAUUUGAGUGAUUGAAAAUUUAAAUAUUAUUUUAAGGAAAAAAACAAAAUAUUAAAACGAUUUAUUUCAAUUUCUCAAAAGCUUCAUGAAAGCCUUUUUUUUUUUUAACGUUUCUUUCGUAUAAAAUAAGAUAGUUAGUGUAAAAUUACCUCAUUAUUCUCCUAAAAUAUCUUAUCAAUUUUUUUUCAUAAGUUAUUUUUUAAAUUGAUAAGGUUCUAUUCAUUGUAACAUUCUCAUACCUAACCCAAAUAUCAGGUCAAAACUCUAAGAUGUUACAUUCUCUACUACAUUCUUCACUUAUCAAUUUUUUUUUAUAAAAUUUCAAUUUAGUCUCUUUUUGUAAUAAAAGUUCAAUAUUCACUAAUUAAUCAUAUUAAAUAAAUUUUCUUUCUUAUUACACUUUAAUCACAUAAUUUAUCUUAAUAUCUUGUUUUACAUAUCAAAUUUCUAUGUAUUUCACUUCAAGGGCGAAGCCAGAAAAUUUUUUUUGAAGGGUUGGAUGAAAUUUUAAUUUUUUAUAGUUUAUAUAUUUAUAAUUUGUAAAGGAUUAAAUCAAUUUUUUAUAAUUUUAGGGGGCCAAAGUACAAUUUUACCUUUACUAAUUUAAAUUUUUUAAAAAAACUUAAGGGCCUAAAAAAUAAUUUUACAUUUUAGGGGGGCCGGGGCCCAUGCCAGCCCCCUAGCUUCGCCCUUGUUUCACUUCUAUUAUUUCAUCCACAGAUUUUCUCAAGUUUAACAAUUUAGUCCUUGUCAUCAUAAAAAUUCCAUAAUUUUACUUUUACAACACUUUAUGCAUAUUUCAUCAUCUCAUAACACAUUAAUUAAAAUUUUAUCAUGAUUUCCUUAUUCACAUAUUAAAUUGUUUCACAUUUAAACUUUUGUACAAUUUUCAAUUUAGUCCCUAUAGCCAUGUAAUUUAUUUUUCACCAUAUAAGCAUUUUAAUCAAAUAAUUCAUUAUAAUAUCUUAUUUCACGUAACAAAAUUUCAUGUACAUCACUUCUCUUGUGACGCCUCGAAUUUAGGGUUAGAAGAGUCAGGGUUUGUAGGAUAAGUCACUGGGUGUGAUGAGACUUUUAAAUAUAUUUUCGUGUUUUAAAGAUAACAUGAACUUGUUGGUUUAAUGGUAAAAUGCUUGUUAAUUUGCCUUUAAGUCUUGUCUUCGAGUCUUUCUGAGAGUUUAAAGGAAGUUAAUUUUUUUUAAUUUUAAUUUUGUUAUACGAAAAUGAUAAUUUUUGAAAAGUUAGUUUUAUUUUAUCUUAAUUUAGUUUUAUUUUAUCUUAUUUUAAUUUUUAAAUAAAAAAUAAAAAAAGAAAAAUCCCAAAAUUUUCUCUCACGUUUGCCUCACCCUCUCCUAUUCACGUCAGUUUCCUAUUCUUUCUCCCAAAUUUUCAAACUUUUGUUUUUGGCUACUGUGCUCUCCUUUUGCCAUCGUUUUUAUUUUUUAUUUUAUUCCUUUCUUUGAUUCACCAUUUCUUUAGUCUACCGAUUUUACUUAUUUGUUUUUUUUCCUCCAAAGCUUUAAUAAUUUCAAGCCACUUUAAUUGUUUCAAUAUAAUUUUUGAUUGCUGUUCCAUUGGAGUUCAUUCAAUUUUUUUUCUUUCUCUCUGUUGACGUCAAAGUUUUAUUAGAUUAGUAUUGUGGUGGCGAAUCGGUCGUUCAUUGGUGUCGAAACUCUUUUUAUUUUGAAAGCAAUGGGGAUCGACUUUUGAAAACAAAAUUGUGGAGUCGCCACCAAUCUCUUUAUUUAGGUAUGAUUGGGUCACCUACUAAAAUACUUUAUUCAUGAAAAAUCAAAAAGUGGGUUUAGGAGUCGGUUACGCUCAAAAAUUGGUACCAAAUUGAUUUGAUGCUAUCCUUAUAUCAAAAGAAAAGAUUUUUCACAGUAUGACUCCUUUUAAAAUGUUUAAAUAGUUUAAAUUAGUAGUCAAAAUUCUCUUAUUUCAAAUAUAUGCAGUUUCAUACUCAGUACGAUUGGAUACGAUCCCUUAUACCCUUAAAAUGCGAUUGAUUUUUGACUUUUGAAGACUCACAUACUAAAAUUAAAAGGUUAUCCAAAUAUUCAGUUCACCAGAAAAAUCAUACCCAGUACGAUUGAGCACGAUUUUCCGAAUUCCCCAAAUAUUGGAUAUUGCCUUAUUUCAAAUUUUUUUUGAAUGGUAGAAAAUUGGAAAUUUACUCAAAAAAUAUGUUUAUUUGUUUUAAAAUAAAUAAAAAAAUUAAUGCAUGGCAACAAAACGUAUAUAUAUAAAAAAAGGUUAAUGAAUAUGAAAUAAUAUACAAAAAGUACAACCUCACUUAAUACAUCCAACAAUUAAAUACAAUUAUUUUAUGUAUAAUGUAACAAAAAAAAUCUUUAAGCAUGGAUAAUGAACAAUUAAUAUAAAAAUAAUAUACACGAUGAUUAACAUAACACAAAAUAGAAUGAUGCACAAAAAUAUGUAUGAAACAAAAUGAUGAAUUAAUGAUUAUAUAAUAUAUAUAUAUAAGUUAACAAGUUUGCAUAAAACUUAGGAUAUAUGUUUAUUGAAAUAGUUAUUAUAAAAUACAAAGUUCAAAUCAAAUUAUAUAUGGAAUAUUUAAAACACAAAUUCAUUCCAAAAAUUGAUAAUUCACAUGAUAACUUAAAUAAUGUAUGAUGCAUAUACAAGUAAAAUUGGGUAUAAUUGUUUGUAAAAAAAAUGAAAUUAAUAAUGUAUGAAAAAACAAAGUAAAUAUUUCAGUUAUAUAGGUAACAAAAUAUAUAUAUAUAUAUAUAUAUAAAAUACAUAAGGAUAAUAUAUAAGUGUAUACAAUAAAUAAGUGGUAUGAUUUAAAAUAUGGUUCUCAAAAGAAAUAUAUUAUACACAUAAAUAACUUUAAAAUAGGAUAUAUACGUAGAAAAAUAUUUACAUAAAGUUAUAUGAAAAUAAUAACAUGUACUAUAGUAAAAAUAAUUUAAUAUGUGUUAUAUACAUGUGAAAGCAUUUUUAAAAUAAUUGAAUAUUAAAAUAAUAUAAAAUAAAAAAUGAAUUAUAAAAUUAACUUAAAAUUAGCAUAAAUUAUAUAUAUAAUCAAUAACAUAAAAAAAAACUGCAAUUAUAUAGAGCUAAAAUUACAUGUAAGAAAUAUUGCUUUGAUAAUGUAUGUAAGUUACAUAUAAGUACUAAAUAUAUGUUUAAUAAUAAUUCAAAUAAUAUACUUAAUAUGAAGAAAUAAUAAUACAUGACAAGGUAUUAUACAUAUGAUAGAUUUUUUUAUUUAAAAACUUAUGUAUAAAAUAAACACAUGUGAAAUUAGAAAAUUAUAUACAUACUAUUUUGCUCAAAAAUACUUAAAAGAAAUACUAAAUAACAUACUAGGAUAACAUAAUAAGGAGACAUAUUUCAAAAUAACAAUUUUAUAAAUACCAAGAUGGAUUUCCAAAACAAUAUCAUAUGUACAUAAAGACAUGUAAAUUAAACAUAACUUAAGAAAUAUUUUAAAUAAUUUAUGUAUAUAAAUAUAUUGACAACACUUAUUAAUAAGGUAUUAAAACAAUGUAAUAUAAAAAGAAUUUUACAACAUGCAAAACAAUGGUUAUUAUAAAAAAACUAAAAAGAAUGAUUAAUAUACAAAUAUAUGUAAAAUAUUUAAAGAAAUAAGAUACAUGAUGUAAAAAAUAAUCUACAAUAAUUAUACAAAUGUAGCAAACAAAAUUAUUUACAUGUAUUAAGGCAUACACAUAUUGAAUGUAUUCUAAAUUAACCGAUUAUACAAAUAUAAGACUCAAUUAAAAAUGCAUCAAGAUAAGAAGGAUAAUUUGUAAAUAAGAUGACCAUAAAAUAGAUCAAUGCAUAACAUGCAUAAAUAUAUAGGGACUGAUAUUGUAAAUCCUCCCAGGCCUAAAUCACAUCACUGUAUCAUGAAUUUAAAUGAAAAUGCGCUCAAAUCAGUGAGCCAAAUUGAAAAACAAAGCAAAGCAAAAAGGAUGCAGUCGAAGCCCCAUGCGAAUGCAAAGGACUUAGCGCGUAAAUUUCCCUUGCAUACAAAAUUGGCGCAGAUCCGAUUCACAAUUCGGGCCAAUGCGCAGACCAUUAUGGCCAGCAAACGCUGCCGUUUGGCUUUAUGGGUGAUUUUAAACCCUUUUUCCUUCAAACAUAACCUGAUUUUCAUUAUUUCUUAGUAGUAACAGCAGCCAUUAACCCCCAAUUGAUAGGGUUUCACUUGGCUCUAGCCGACAUGCAAAUAGCUCCAUCAAAGGCCGACGACAUGCGAUCAACGGCCAAAUCCUUGCCCACGCAAGUCGCAACCAUGGAGAUCCGGUAAGCCCCCCUUUCUCCUUCGUUUUUUUUUUUGUUUUAAAACAACCUUAAAUCAUAUUUUACUUCUUCGAAAACCAAAAAAAUAGAUAAACAAAGAUCGAAGAAAACGUUCGACCCUCCCCGAGUCUCUUCAUUCCUGAGAUGUGUGGGUUUUCAUCGGUAUCGACUUAUUUCUUAACAAAAAAAUCAUGCCAACUAAAGAGAUAAAUCAAAAGAGAAAAGAAAAGGAAAAAAAAAACACUUGAGAUCACCUUUGAUAUCUCUGAUUUUUCUAUAUUCUGUGUAUUUGCAUAAACGUAUAGUAUGCAUACAGUGUGCGUAAAAAAACAAGGUACAAACAAUGGCUAUUUAUAGCCAAAUUUACAGAAUAAAUGAAAAAUAAAAAUACAUUUUCCCUCUGUCAUUUGGCUGUAAAUUCUGUUGCUGCUUCUUCUCGUAUAUUCUUUUGCAGGUAUAAAGAAACGGCCGUACGGAGAAAGCCCCUCGUGAAAGCCGUGCGUGAGUUCGAUUGCAGCACUGGUGCAUUCUAGAAACCCUUAAGUUUCUGGCAUUUUCAAGCAAUUGGGCCUUUUGGGCCAUUUGUGAAUUGGGCUAUAAGACUGUAUAGUUUGGGUGUCCGUUUAAUUGGGUCAAAUUAUAUGUAGUUGGGCUAAGGAACUUUGGUACUUGUUUAGGCUAUGGGUUUAUUAGAAUUGGGUUUUGGGUCAUGGGUUAUUUAGUAUUUUGUAAAGGGAUUUUUUUUGGACUAUUUGGUCUUGGUCCUUAUUCAUUUAUUUGGGUUUAUUAUUUGCAAAUAAAUUAAAUGGGCCUGGGCAAAAUUGGUUGACUACAAAUGCUGUUUGGGAUCACAUUUUAAGGUGUGUUUCUUGAAUACUCGUGUUUUGUAGCAAGGGUUGUUGUGGUCCUAUGUUUAUAAAUUUUUCAGCUUUUUGCAAUUUGUAGUUUUUAGUUUUACCUUUCUUGCAAGUGUAUUGUCAGGGUUUUUUUUUUUUUGUGACUUACAAUCUGCAUUAUUAUUUUGAUAGACUUAAGGCCUAUCCGUUAGCACUCAUUCGCUCUAUAGUGUGCGAACCACAAACGAAUUGCUUUAUGUUGUUGGAGUUCUUUAUUUCUUAUGGUUUCCCACUAUUAGCUAAUUUUAGUUUUCUUUUCUUUUUAUCAUUUAUUAUAUUACAAAUUACCCAUUUACUAUUAUUAAGACAAGGAUUUUUCAUGCAUCCAAUUCUUGAUCGCUUUAGAUCCUGCAUUAGGCUUAGUUAUUAGUAAUCAGGGAAAAUUUUUUUAGGAAGAGCUAGAUGAAAUUUUAAUUUUUUAUAGUUUAUAUCUUUAUAAUUUGUAAAGAAUUAAAUUGAAUUUUUAUAAUUUUAAGGGGGCCAAAUACAAUUUUAUCUUUAUUAAUUUAAAAUUUUUAAAAAAAUUUAAGGGCCAAAAUAAUAAUUUUAUAUUUUAAGGGGGCCGGAGCCUAUGCCAGCCCCCCUGUCUUCGGCCCUGUUAGUAAUGUUGUUUCCUCAUUUUUAUUUACAGAUUAUCUUUGUAUUAUAUGUGGACUAAUUAUCUUUAUUGUCGCACUCAAAACUACUUCUCAUGAAUUCAUUUAUGUUUUCUUCCUUGAUGACUUGUUAUAAUAAUUUUGUAAUAUGAGAUUGAUUGAAAGUGUUAAACAAAAUUUACCUAUGUCGAUGAUUCGGCUAAUUGGUGUCGGUUAUAAAUAUGUUUGAGAGUUGUUGGUAACUGAACAUGAGAAUGUUCAAUUUUGUAUAUCUGUAUGCAUAAUACCAUUUGCAUUUACAUUUGUGAUUGGGACAUGGUUUUGAAGUGAAGGAAGUUCGUAUUAGCAGUUCCACUGCAUCUUUAUAUUUUUAACGGUGUUUCCGCAUUACUAAAAGUGGCAUAUGACCACUUCAUGGUGUGAAUUGGUUGGAAGGGUCCACCAUAACCCGAUAAUGGUGUGUAGAGGAUGGAAGGGUUUAGAAAAGACCCUAUUUUUGGUGUGUGACGGUUGGUUGGAGAUGGUGUGUAUAGGCUGGAUAGGUGGGGAUUUUGUGACCUUUUGUAUUUGAAUGUGAUUUGUGUGUCUGUUUAAGGAUAAUGUGGAAUAAUGCGUUAAAUUUGAAAAGCGUUGUGGACAAUUAUAAAUAAAGGUACGCGUUAUUCAAAUUUAUUCGAUUUACAUUUUCUCUUAGUUGUUGUUUUAAUAGUUUUGCAAUAGUCUUACAUUUAAUCAAGUACAUUAGUUUAUCCGCGAUUAAUAUUAUGCAUUAAUUUAUAUGACUUUUAUAAACAUUUUAAGUUUUAAAAAAUAUUGAUCUCACAAUCCAAAUUUCCUACCUCCGCCCUUGACAAUAUCUAUCCUACGGUUAGGAUGCUAGCAUUAAUCAAGUUUAUUGAUGAAAAACCUAGAAAGUUAUUUUAACAAGAAAAAAAACUCCUAAAUUAAGAAGAAUAAAUGGAAGAGAGACCAUCAAGCCAGAAACAUAGUAGACUAUAGAGGAUAAUAAAACAACUUCAACUCGAAGGUUUCAUAAAUCAUUCUUCCAAUUGCUUUAAAACUCUCUUAAGAGAUAAGGAUCAUGAUAAACAUUGUCUUCACUCUAAAUUUCUCAAUAUAACCAAUUAAAGAGUUGAAGAGUCCUAACCAAAGAUCAAUUGUUGUUUUGUCAAACAUGUUAUUCUUUAGUAGGCAAAAAAAAAAAAAAAAAGAAGAGUCAAACACGCAUGGGGCUAAAACAACUCAUGACCCAAGCGAAAAAUUUGUUCUCAUUCUAACCGAACAUGGAACGACCAGGUAAAAAAUCCCAACAAUCUCUCCAUUGACAUUUUUUAUAGAACCAUGUUUGAUUACACACUCCCCCUAUCAAUAUGUUUGUUCAUCACAUAAUCAAUUAAGCAUGCAAGAAGGUCAUAAAUAAACAAUAAUAUAUCAACACCAUCUUCUUCUUUUCUUUUUUUUUUAAAAAAAAUCACCAAUCAUCUCCUUUUGACAAAGAGAAAUGUAGCAAUCAUAACCAAGAACAAAACUUUUCAUUUGCUAAUACCAUUUUCUCCCCCUUUUUGGUAAAAUUGGCAAAAGUGCAACCAUAAGUGAAAACAAAGUAGACUAAAUUUCCAAAUCAACAUUAUUACUUCCCUUUACUCCGUUAAUCCUCUAUCGACUUCCAUCAUGUUGUUUAAAGCGGAUGAGAUCAAAUGUUACCGUAUCAACAAGAGGAGUUGUAGCUCGUGGAGCAACAAACACUUGUUCCACCAAAUCUAGUGUCCAAUACUUGAUAUAUCUUCAAUAUGAUCUCCAUCAAAUUGUAAUUUCAUGCUUCACACGAGCAUUAAUUAAAUGCUGAUAUUCAUUACUCAAAUUUCCUUGAUCUUUCCUCGCCUAAAUUUGUCUAUACUGUGGUUUCCUUGUUCCAUUCAUUGUUCUAACAUGUUUUUUUAGUUGAGUUGAACUUCUUCCAAUCGCACAUCAACUUAAAACAAUAGGGUCUGAUAUCUCCAACUUUCCCACAAUAAUGAUAUACAAUAUUUCAAAAUCCCUGCCUCAUUAUAAAAAGAAGAACUCACAUAUUUAGCUUUAACAAAAAUUCUAGGCGCGAUAGGGUCUUUACCUUUAUUUAUUGAUGUAACCAAGCCCUCUGUGGCUUGGUUUAGUUCUCAUUGAAGCCAAAUUUUCAUCCAACUUCUUAAUUUGGCCUUUAAACUUCUUCAAAACAACAUUUGCAUCCUCUAGCUCGCUCUUAGUUGCUUUCAAUGCAUUAUAUUUUAUUGACCACAAUUUUGAGUUUUUCUUUUUCGCCUUCAGGGAAAAUAAUUUCUUCCCUCAAGGAAUCAUUUAAUUGGCACAAUAUUUGCAUUUCUUUAACUUAUGGCUAUAAGCAUCCUCCAAAGAUUUCAAAGGAUCAUCAUCAACAUCUGGAUCUUCUUCAGAAUUUAUUAAAACAAGGUUUGGAACAAUAGUAGUAAAAGCAAUAUAGUUGCUCACAUUUUCAUAUACAUUAAAACUUUCUUCUUCACUCCAAGUGACUCUAAGUGACUUCUCAUUCUUUUUAGUAUUAGCACAUUUUGAUUGAAAUGAUUAAAUCCUUUUCAUUCAUAACAUUGAACAUCUUUCUUUCUCAUCCCAUUGGUAUCUAAUUUAGUUCCCUUCUAAGUGAACUUCUUCAUGCUCUUUGUAAGUAAGACUAAUUGCUUUUUUGAUCUCACCAAUAUCUUCCAUUGUCUGUUUCAUUGUUGGGACAACAUUUUGAGCAUUGAAUGUUGCGUUCUUUGGAAAACUCAUUUGAUCACGUUUCACUUCCUCCAUAUUUAACUCAAAAAUUUGGAGUGAGCCUAUUCAUUCGUCCAACUUGAGAGAGGUAAUAUCUUUAGCCUUCUCUAUUUCCGUGACUUUAAUUGUUGUUCUGUCACAAUUUGUGAUAGCAAAUUAGGUUCUUUCUGGCACUUAAUGAGCUUAUUUUUGGCAUAAUUUAGUGUUAUUUUGAUUAGUUUUACAUUUUAGUCUUCAAUGUUUAAUUUUGGUAAAAUAAGCGUUUUUACAUGUUUUUAGGUGUUUUGAUGACCCAUUAGGCCAAUUCUGGCUUAGGGUUAAUAGGCUACUUGAGUGUGCAGGAACAAAGCAAAAUAACCACAAGGAGAGAUAACAUACAAUAUUUGUUAAAGCUGAAAAAUGUUAAACGCAAAGUAACACAAAGAGCAAACUAAUGAGAGAUAAUAAAUAUUUGUUAACACAGUUUAGACACCUAUUGGCUAAAGCCCAAUCUACCUUUACAUAAAGAAGUAAUUGCAACCUUAAUACCGACCUUAAUUGUCACAAAUCACUCACCCAAAUACUUCACAAUUCAAUCAGGAAGCUCUCCAAAGAAUGCCUAAAAGAGUGUCACAAAAUAACCACAACAAAGCUGUCGACAAAGACACUAAAAAACUGCUUUCUAUGUGACACCACAAGCAACCUAUUUAUAAGCUUAUACUUGAGUCCAUCCAACAGAGUUUUGAUAAGCUUUAAACUCCUAUUUAAAAGCUGAAAUUGUCCCAUUAAUUAUCCCGAGUAUUUAUCAAAUAAAAGUACUCAUAAAUCAAUCUUCCAACUGCUCCAAAACUCUCUCAAGAGAUAAAGAUAACGGUAAAUAUUGUCAUCACUUAAAACUUUCUCAAUAUGACUAGUUAAAGAGCUGUAGAGUCUUAAGUGAAAACCAACCGUUGUUUUCUCAAACAUGACACUCCUUAGUAGGCCAAUAAAAACGUCCAACACCCAUGGGGCCGAAACAACCCACGACCCAAGUAGAAAAUUUGUUCUCAUUCUAACAGAACAUGGAACGAGCAAGUCAAAAAUCCCAACAAGAAAAAUUCAAUAGAUCAUUUAAGAAGUUGUUCAAGAAGACCAAAAGUAAUGCUGGUGGGUGUUAGCUUUGCUGUCUUAAGCUUUUGGUAAAACAAUAUUUGUGAUAAAUUUAAAUUAUUUAUUUCCUAACUCAUUUGGGAAAAAAUAUGGUUGAAAACUUUAUUAACAUUUUCAAAGACUUGCGAUAUGCUCAAAAGCAUCUUUUAAACAUGUUUUAAUUUAUUCAAAUGUUUUUGAGUCAAUAUCAAAAUGUUCUAAGGUGUUUAAAAUGUUUUAAAGAACUUUAGUAGUUAAAUCUCGAGACAUAGGACUCUAAGUCUCAAGACAAAUAAGUUAGUAGCCAAACUUUGCUCUAGGGGGUGCAAAGUAUGUUUUAAGACAUAGACUACAUGUCUAGAGACGUAAUAGUAAACUGCACGGGAUUUACUAUAUGUCUUAGAAUAUGGCAUGCAUGUCUCAAGACAUAGCCUUUCAAUGACUAUUUUUCAACCAAGUCUCAUGAUAUAUUGGCAAAUUUUGACACAUAAAUUGCAGGGACCUUUUUUUGUUUUGCUCGAAAUAAAUGCUUCCAACGAUUCUAUUUCACCCCCAACUGUCAUAAGCAUUUGCAAACUUGUUCUUUUGUAUAUAUAAUCUUCAAGAACACUUCAAGACAUAAUAUAGCAACAACUAAGCUUAAAGAUUAAGAAAAAAGUCUACAAAUCUUCACUAUUUCAUUUCUCUUAUAAAUAUUCUCUAAAAUCUUAGUGUCAAAUCUUUUACAAUUCAUAUAUCUUUGUUGUUAGAAUUAAGUGACCCGAAUCCUUAUUUAAAUAAAAUACAGUGGUAAAAUAAAAUAAAAGAAGAAUCAAUAUAUAGAAUUACAUUUCUUUUAUUUUAUUUUAGAAUAAGGUUUUUUAAACCUUAUUAAAUUCUAUCUAUUUGAUAUUGAUUAGAAUAAAGUGUUUCAGUUUUACUAGAAUAUGACUUCACAAGCCUUUAAAUAGACAUAGUCUAUUCCUGUUGUAAUAAUUUGAAUUCGACAUAGUGAAUUUUCUUCUCCUUUAUUCGUGAUUUUUUCUUGAAAAGGUUUCUAAGUAAAAAUUUAUAUAUUUUUUAUUUUAUUUUAUUUUAUUUUUUACAAAUUGGUAUCAGAGCUUCUGAGUUAUUCAUCUCGAUCACGGUAAUGACGUAUUUGAAGUAUGAAAUUCCGCUGUUGGAUCGCAACAAUAGAUUUGCAUUGUGGUAGAUUAAGAAUCAAGCAAUUCUUGUGUAGAUGGAUCUAGAGGAUGCCCUACUAGGGAUAGAUAAGAUGCCUUUAACAUUAACAGAUGAAGAGAAAGAAGCGUAAGGAUCGAAAGGCGUUAACACAAUUACAUCUGUAUUUUUCCAAUAAAAUUUUACAGGAUGUGAUGAAAGAGAAGACCGUCGCUGCAUUAUGGAAGAGACUAGAACAAAUAUGUAUGUCGAAAACUCUAACAAGCAAGUUGUAUCUGAAGCAGCGUCUUUAUGCUCAUAUUUUGGAGGAAAGUGCGUCUGUACACGAACACUUAAUAGUGUUUAAAGAAAUUCUAUCAAAUUGGGAGGCCAUGGAGGCUCAGUAUGAUAAGGAAGAUCUAGGGUUGAUUCUACUUUGUUCGUUUCCCCUGUCUUAUUCAACCUUUAGAGACACGAUUUUAUAUAGCCGCGAGUCUCUCACAGUUGAUGAGGUUUAUGAUUUUUUGACCUCGUAUGAUAAGAUGAAACAUCUUAUGGUUAAACUCGACUCUCAAGGAGAGGGUCUCAUUGUUCGUGAGAGACAAGAUCGAAAUGCUGAUGAUGAUCGUGGAAGGACACAGGAACGGAAUCAUCGCGGUAAAUCUAAAGGUAGAUCAAAGUCUUCAAACAAAUGUAAAACUUGUAACUUCUGCAAGAAGAAAGGGCACAUUAAAUCUGAGAGCUAUAAGCUACAGAACAAGAUUAAAAGGGAGGCUGCGAAUCAAAAGGAAAAGUAACCAGAAAAUUACGGUGAAGCUGAUGUUGUAGAAGACUACAGCGAUGGUGAAUUUCUAGUCGCUUCAGUCAAAAAUUCUAAAGUGAGCGAGGAGUGGAUACUUGAUUCAGGUUGCACCUUCUACAUAAGUCCCAAUCGGGAUUGGUUUACAACUUACGGAACAAUGUUUGAAGGUGGUGUUUUGAUGGGAAAUAAUGCUUCAUGUAAAAUCGUAGGUGUUGGAACAAUUAAAGUUAAGAUGUUUGAUGGAGUUGUCAGAACACUUAGUGACGUACGACAUGUUCUAGAAUUGAAAAAAAUUAAUUUCGUUGAGUGCUCUUGAUUCAAGAAGGUACAGAUACACAGCUGAAAGUGGGGUUUUAAAGAUUUCCAAAGGUUCUCUUGUUGUGAUGAAAGGGCAGAGAAAGACUGCCAAGUUAUAUGUUUUGCAAGGUUCUACUGUUAUUGGUGAUGCAGCUGUCGCUUCCUUUUCAUUGUCAGACGAUGAUAUUACUAAAAUUUGGCAUAUGCGCCUAAGGCAUAUAAGUGAGAAUGACAUGCCAGAAUUGAGCAAAAGAGGACUUCUUGAUGGGUAAGGAGUUUGCAAACUAAAUUUCUGUGAGCACUGUGUUUUUAGGAAGCAAAAGAGAGUUCGAUUCACUAGAGAAAUCCAAAACAUAAAGGGAACAUUGAAGUAUAUUCAUUCUGAUCUGUGGGGGCCAUCUAGAGUGCCUUUGAGAGGUGGAGCUAAUUAUAUGCUAACCUUUAUUGAUGAUUUUUCCAGAAAAGUUUGGGCAUUCUUCUUGAAGCAGAAAAGCGAUGUGUUUUCCGCAUUUAAGUCUUGGAAAAUUAUGAUUGAAAAACAGACGGGAAAACAAAUAAAAUAUCUCCGCACAGACAAUGGCUUAGAGUUCUGUUCUGAUGAGUUUAAUAGAUUGUGCAAAUCAGAAGGGAUCGUGAGACACUUGACAGUUCGCCAUACUCCGCAGCAAAAUGGCAUUGCAGAACGAAUGAACAGAAUGAUCAUGGAGAAAUUUCGAUAUAUGUUGUCAAAUGCCAACUUACCAAAGUCAUUUUGGACUGAAGCAGCUUCUACUACAUGUUUUUUUGAUCAACCGAUCCCCAUUCGUUGCCAUUGAAAAAAAGACUCCGCAAGAGGUAUGGUCUGGUAAUCCUGCAAAUUAUUCUGAUUUAAAGAUUUUUGGGUGUCCUGCGUAUGCUCAUGUUGAUAAUGGAAAAUUGAAACCGAGAUCCAUUAAACAUGUUUUUCUUGGUUAUAAAGCUGGUGUAAAAGGGUAUAAGUUAUGGUGUCCUGAAAAAAAAAAGUUGUGAUUAGCAGAGAUGUUGUUUUUGAUGAAACUGCUAUGUUGUCUAACUUAUCUCUUAAAGACUCUUCCAAUAAAGAAAAUCAAAAGUAGGUGGAACAUCAGAUUAAUACAGAGUCGACUCCUCAAGUCAGUACAAAAAUUGAGAAUAGAGUUGCUUCUUCACCGCAAUACUCUAUCGCCAAAAACAGAACUAGAAGAGAAAUUAAACCUCCAAAGUAGUAUGCUGAGGCUGAUCUAGUUGCUUAUGCUUUAAAUGUGGCUGAAGAUAUAGAUGCAAAUCAAGAGCCAUCUAAUUAUUCUGAGGCGGUUAGCUGUGAAGACUCAGAAAAUUGGAUGUUUGCUAUGCAAGAGGAGAUAGAAUCACUCCACAAAAACAGAAUAUGGGAUUUUGUAAAACUUCAUAUAGGUAAAAAGGCUGUUCGUUGUAAAUGGGUGUUUAAAAAGAAAGAAGAGACUCUAAGAGUUGAAGAACCCAGAUAUAAAGCAAUACUUGUUGCAAAGGGUUACAAUCAAAUUCUAGGAGUAGACUUCACAGAUGUAUUCUCCCCAGUUGUUAAGCAUAGUUCGAUUCGAGCUUUGCUUGGUAUUGUGGCCGCACAUGAUUUGGAGCUUGAGUAGUUAGAUGUAAAAACUGCACUUUUGCAUGGAUAACUUGAGGAGGAUAUUUACGUGCAACAACUAGAGGGUUUUACAGUCUUAAAAAAAGAGGACUAUGUUUGCUUCCAGAAAAAGUCCCUUUACGGUUUGAAACAGUCACCAAGACAGUGGUACAAGAAGUUUGAUUCCUUUAUGACUUCUCAUGAUUUCAAAAGAAGUAGUUUUGACAAUUGUGUUUACUUUAAGAAAAAUAGUGAUGGUUCAUUUGUGUAUCUACUUCUUUAUGUUGAUGACAUGUUGAUAGCAGCAAAAGAUAAAUGAGAGAUAAGAAAGGUCAAAACCCAACUAAGUGAAGAAUUUGAGAUGAAAGAUUUAGGACCAGCAAAGAAGAUACUUGGUAUGGAGAUUCUCAGAUAUAGAAAAGCAAGUAAAUUGUACCCAAGUUAGAAAGGGUACAUUGAGAAAGUUCUUUGCAGGCUCAAUAUGCAGAGUGCUAAGCUUGUUAGUACUCCUUUAGUAGCCCAUUUUAGACUUUCAUUGGCUUUGUCUCCAUAAUCAGAUGAUGAGAUUGAGUACAUGUCACAUGUUCCAUACUCUAGUGCAGUGGGAUCUCUCAUGUAUGCUAUGGUUUGUUCACGUCCAGAUUUAUCAUAUGCAGUCAGUGCAGUUAGCAAAUACAUGGUGAAUCUCGGUAAAGAACACUGGAAAAUUUAGUGGAUUUUAUGAUACUUACGAGGUACUACUGAUGUUUACUUACAAUUUGGAAGAACUAGAGAUGGAGUCGUUGGGUAUGUUGGUGCUACUUUUGCUGGAGACCUUGAUAGAAGAAGAUCUCUCACAUCUUAUGUCUUUACAAUCGGAGGUUGUGCAAUCAGUUGGAAAGCCACUUUGCAAACUACAGUCGCUUUGUCUACCACUGAAGCUGAGUACAUGGUGAUUACUGAGGCUUGUAAAAAAUCUAUUUGGUUGAAGGGACUUUUUAGUGAACUCAAUAAAGACCUUCAAAUCAACAUAGUAUUUUGUGAUAGUUAGAGUGUCAUCUUUCUUACAAAAGAUCAAAUGUUUCAUGAGAGAACAAAACACAUUGAUGUUCGGUAUCAUUUUGUUAGUGAUAUUAUUGCUCGUGGUGAUAUUGUUGUGAGCAAAAUUAGUACUCAUGAAAAUCCUGCAAAUAUGAUGACUAAGUCACUUUCUAUAACCAAGUUUGAGCAUUGCUUAGACUUGGUUGGUGUUUGUUGUUGAUGUUAAGCCCUUAAGGGGUUUUAUGAAAGAGGUGGAGAACUUGUUCGUUGAGAGUUCGCGAGCGAUGAAGAACUUGUUCGUUGAGAGUUCGCGAUGAAGAACUUGUUCAUUGAGAAUUCGUGUUAAGAUGGAGAUUGUUAGAAUUAAGUGACCCGAAUCCUUAUUUAAAUAAAAUAAUGUGGUAAAAUAAAAUAAAAGAAGAAUCCACCUAGAAUUACACUUCUUUUAUUUUAUUUUAGAAUAAGGUUUUUUAAACCUUAUUAAAUUCUAUCUAUUUGAUAUUGAUUAGAAUAAGGUAUUUCAGUCUUACUAGAAUAUGGCUUCACAAGCCUAUAAAUAGACAUAGUCUAUUCCUCUUGUAAUCAUUUGAAUUCGACAUAGUGAAUUUUCUUCUCCUCUGCUCGUGAUUUUUUCCCGAAAGGAUUUCCACGUAAAAAUUUGUGUGUUCUUUAUUUUAUUUUAUUUUCACAUUUAUAGUUGAAUUGUUCAUUUUUUAUUUCACCAAUUGUAACUUGGGAGGGUUUUAAUUGAGCCAUAAAAACUAAAAAAUAUUCUAGUUUAGCUAUUAAAGUUAGGAGGAAAGGUUUUGUCUAAGCCUUAAGAAAAAGAUAAUGAUGUACAUGUUAUACCUUCUCCUUAAAAGCCAUCAAUUUUAGUCGUGAAUUGGGAAAUCCUUAGAGGUGAAAAAUUACAGUAGUGAAGGUAAGCAAUUGGGGUCUAAUCACUAUAACUUCAUUUUAUCAAGCUAUUAUCCCUUGAUUUUUCCAUUUAGAAUAGUUUUUAAGAAAAUUUUCAAAAUACAAAUUCACCUUCCUCUUGGUAUAUUGGGGCCUAAUAGUGGAUGUAGUAAAAACAAAGGCAAAUUUCCAAUCACUAAACAUUGGAUGUUGCUUAAAGGGCUCACACACUUGAACAUCUAGAGGCUAAGCUCAGUUUUCUCAAUUCACAAAUCAAUUUAAUCAACAAAAGGAGGAAUACAGUCUUUCAAUACACUGCAAAUAUGAAAAGAACAUCAGUUUCGUUUUUCUUCCUUUGGUUCUUUUUGUAAAAAGAAAAAAAAGGAGAUCAGGUAAGGAAAGCAAAUUGGGAGUGAGAGCUGAAGCUGGAAUUGAUUGAGACAAUGGGAUAGUUUUGAGUCAAUAGGAGAUCACUGACCAAUUCAAGUUGUAUUUUGCUGGAGCUUGUAGGGUUCUUGUUUGUUGGUGUAAUAGGCCCAUUUCACCGGGGCCCAUUAGAAUAAAAAAAUAGAAAUUAAAAACUAAAAAUAAAACAAAAAUAAAAAAAAACACACAAACAAAAAAUCCAAAUGUCAAUGUCCUUUUACAAAUUUUACUAGCCCAAAUAAAAUUUCAAACACCCAACCCAAUUACGAAAAUAAUCCAUAACCCAAUAAGUCCUAAAACCCAAUUCUAAUUAACCCAUAUCCUAAAUCUAGCCCAAACUUGAAAGAGCCCAAAAAGGAAAAUUUUCAGCAGUCAAGAAAGCUCCUAGAAUGCACUGGAAGGGCACCAGAGGCACGGCUUCUCAUGUGAGAUCCCCGGGUCAUCUUCUCCGUACCUGCAAUAGAAUACAGUAUAUGACAGCAAUAAAAUGUAUUUUUAUUUUAUUUUUAUUCUGAAAUUUUGGCUAUAAAAGCUGAUGAUUGUACCUACAAAAAGGAGGACGCUCAUUAUACGCAUACAGAAUUUAAAAUUUUCAAAAAGGAAUUUCUAAAAGGUGAUCUUCUUUAGUUUUAAUUAUUCUCUUAUUUUUAUUUAUUUUUCCAGCAAUUAUCUUUAUCAUUUUGCAUGUAAAAACAAAAAGAAAGUCAAAUCUUACCUUGCGAAUCGGCUUUGGCCUUUGUUCACUUCGUUGAGAUUGAAAUUGAAAGGAGAAUCCAAAAGCAUUAUCCAUCAAGCCUCGAGAUGGCGCCAAUGAGAUCCCUAAUAUCUCUAAAAUACUGAGAUAAGGACGAGGGUCAGAGGCUGUUGAAUGUGUUGGUUUUCAACCUUGUUUUUUUUUUCUCUUUGAGCAAAUGAUUUGAGAUUUGAGAUAUUUUUUUUAAAAAUAAAAUAAAUUGGGUUACCAGAUUUCCUCGAGUGGACCUUCGAUGGUGAAGUCUGGUUGUUGUUCAUGCGUUAUCGACUACCAAAUAAAAUGGUGGUUCAAUGGCUGCAAAUAUGAACCAUAACAUUUUGAUUUUGGGGCUGUGCAUUUGGGUGGAUGAGUGGCUGCAUUUAAAGAAAGAAAAAGGAUAGAAGAAAGGUUCUAAAUAACCUAUUGGAAAAACGGGGUCGUCCACUAGCAAUGGAGGUCCGCGUAUUGGCCCGAAAUGUGAAUCGGAUCUGCGCCAUUUUGUAUGCAAGGGAAAUUUUCGCGCUAAGUCCUUUGCAUUCGCAUGGGGCUUCAACUGCAUCCUUUUUGCUUUGCUUUAUUUUUUAAUUUGGCUUACUGAUUUGAGCGCAUUUUCAUUUAAAUUCAUGAUACAGUGAUGUGAUUUAGGCCUGGGAGGAUUUACAAUAUCAGUCCCUAUAUAUUUAUGCAUGUUAUGCAUUGAUCUAUUUUAUGGUCAUUUUAGUUACAAAUUAUCCUUCUUAUCUUGAUGCAUUUUUAAUUGAGUUUUAUAUUUGUAUAAUCGGUUCAUUUAGAAGACAUUCAAUAUGUGUAUGCCUUGAUACAAGUUAAUAAUUUUGUUUGUUACAUUUGUAUAAUUAUUUUAGAUUGUUUUUUUUUACAUCAUGUAUUUUUGUUUUUUUUUUACAUCAUGUAUUCUAUUUCUUUAAAUAUUUUACAUAUAUUUGUAUAUUAAUCAUUUUUUUUAGUUUUUUAUAAUAAUUAUUGUUUUGCAUGUUAUAAAUUUUUUUUAUAUUACAUUGUUGUACAGGCCCAAUAUUGCCCUGGCCCAGACAAAUAAAAAAUAACAAAACCUAAAACAAUAAAAAAGAGUCCAAAAUAAUUAGCCCAUUUAUAAUAUUAAACAGCCCAAUUUACAUCAAACCCUAGCCCAAAUAACAGCCCACUUGCUUAAGGUUUUUCAGCAGCAAACCCCUGGCACCCCAGCUCUCCAUGCCACCAUGUCGGCCACCAUGCCCCUCAGCCUUGGCCACCACGCUCCACGCGUUUGACACUCCCACCAACUCCUCCAUGUGCACCCACCUGUUGAUUUCCAUCACCUGCAGAAUAAGACAAAAAAGAAAGCAAACACUAAUACAGAGGCAGACGACAGGAAGCAAUGGCAAGAAAUUUAAAAAAAUAUUGUAUUGAAAUAGCUAUAAAUGCCAGAUCUGAAUGUAAUACAGGGGAAAUUUUUUAGAGAUUUCAAAGGGAAGAAUCGGUUGUAUUUUGGGGGGAUAUAUAUUUUUUCUUCAGAGAUAAUACAAGCGGAAGAGUAAAUCAAGAAUCGGAACUAAGUUUUGAAAGGUGAUUUUUCAUUUUUUUUGGAAUUUUCUCUUGAUUUGGAUUUCGUUUGUUCUGUUCCAUUUUCAAUUUUUUUAAAAAAAACGGUUUUUAAAAAAAAAAACAAGAGAGGGAGAGAGGGGACUUACCAACGAACUCGCGACCUCGGCUCGCCGGACCUCCGAUGAGAGUGGCGCAGGCCUAAGAGAAAAUUUGAGAGCUUUCUCUCUGUUUUUCUUUAAGGAAAAUAAGAGAGAUGAUGGGUAAAUGUUUUUUUUUUGUUUUCAAAAAAAGGGUGUUCAAUGUUUUAAAAAUAAAAAAACAAAAAAGUAGGCUUCAUUUGUUUUUUUCCCCUCAAAAGUAGAGCCUGG
RNAcentral lists this long non-coding RNA (22823 nucleotides) under Gossypium barbadense (sea-island cotton). RNAcentral describes it as "long non-coding RNA (GBAR_LNC001115)". Lineage: Eukaryota; Viridiplantae; Streptophyta; Magnoliopsida; Malvales; Malvaceae. The record is from RNAcentral.